UUUAUGCAGAUGGUGAGACACAAGUUUUAUGGGUAAUUGUGAUGUCACACCCUUUUCACCUUGGAGAUCUGAUGCAUGCU
Molecule: small nucleolar RNA, 80 nt
Filed under: Hordeum vulgare subsp. vulgare (domesticated barley)
Lineage: Eukaryota; Viridiplantae; Streptophyta; Magnoliopsida; Poales; Poaceae
Source: RNAcentral